GCUUAAAACUCAAAGGACUUGGCGGUGCUUUACAUCCCUCUAGAGGAGCCUGUUCUAUAAUCGAUAAACCCCGAUAUACCUCACCAUCUCUUGCUAAUUCAGCCUAUAUACCGCCAUCUUCAGCAAACCCUAAAAAGGAAGAAAAGUAAGCACAAGUAUCUUAACAUAAAAAAGUUAGGUCAAGGUGUA
Molecule: ribosomal RNA, 189 nt
Filed under: Felis catus (domestic cat)
Lineage: Eukaryota; Metazoa; Chordata; Mammalia; Carnivora; Felidae
Description: partial 12S ribosomal RNA
Source: RNAcentral